RNAcentral lists this ribosomal RNA (464 nucleotides) under Vreelandella stevensii. RNAcentral describes it as "partial 16S ribosomal RNA". It matches the Rfam family "Bacterial small subunit ribosomal RNA", at positions 339 to 795 of the family's 1533-position model. Lineage: Bacteria; Pseudomonadati; Pseudomonadota; Gammaproteobacteria; Oceanospirillales; Halomonadaceae. The record is from RNAcentral.
CCUCGGGAGGCUGCAGUGGGGAAUAUUGGACAAUGGGCGAAAGCCUGAUCCAGCCAUGCCGCGUGUGUGAAGAAGGCCUUCGGGUUGUAAAGCACUUUCAGUGGGGAAGAAAGCCUUGGGGCUAAUACCCUCGAGGAAGGACAUCACCCACAGAAGAAGCACCGGCUAACUCCGUGCCAGCAGCCGCGGUAAUACGGAGGGUGCGAGCGUUAAUCGGAAUUACUGGGCGUAAAGCGCGCGUAGGCGGUCUGAUAAGCCGGUUGUGAAAGCCCCGGGCUCAACCUGGGAACGGCAUCCGGAACUGUCAGGCUAGAGUGCAGGAGAGGAAGGUAGAAUUCCCGGUGUAGCGGUGAAAUGCGUAGAGAUCGGGAGGAAUACCAGUGGCGAAGGCGGCCUUCUGGACUGACACUGACGCUGAGGUGCGAAAGCGUGGGUAGCAAACAGGAUUAGAUACCCUAGUAGUC